AUUGCGCACGAGUACACGAACCGAUUACGAUUCGAGAUUUCGAAAUAAUUCAUUCGGAUUCAGGCAACUAACCGUAGAAAAUAAUCGAAAUCGUUAGUAAAUUUCAUUUGUUAGGUUGGUGGUAGUGUGUUACAAGUGUCACUGCGAAUGCGAAAUGUCAUUUUGAAGAUGAACACGUCAAUAACGAAAGGUGCAAGUCGGUUUCUUCGCAAAUUGGUUAUGAGACCAGUUUUCGAAAUUAUUCUUUCUGACGGUACGGAAGUGGCUGGUGCACAAAGAUAUUUUUCAUGGAGCUUGAAUAAUUCGGGAAACAAAUUUUUAUUCUCCAUCCAAAAGCUCAAAGGAUUGCAUGUUCGGGCUAUGUUUGGCAUUGAUAAAUAUUCCUUUAUCAUUACAAUAGCUUUUGCUUUUGGUGAAACAGCUAAUACAUUUGUGGAUCUGGCAAUUUUGUCAUCAAGGUAAUUCCAUAACAUAUCAACAUUAACAGAAGAGUCAUCAGGCUGGUUUUUAAUGACUUAUAUGCACCCAUCGAAGCACCAUGUUCUCCGGAAAAGAUGAUGAAAAUAUGGUGGAAAACAACGCACGCUUUGGAAUAUUUUUCAUGUUUUUCUUGGUGAAGAAGUUAAAAAUUUUAUCAUUUUUUUUUAACAAAUUUUACAUUUUAUUUUUAUGGGUGUCUGUCAGUUGUAUCACUUUAUGCAAUAAAAUGCCACCGAUGUGAAGAAA
Long non-coding RNA from Zophobas morio, 726 nucleotides. RefSeq lists it as uncharacterized. The transcript has 2 exons. The record is from RefSeq and is a predicted model, not a curated record. Lineage: Eukaryota; Metazoa; Arthropoda; Insecta; Coleoptera; Tenebrionidae.